RNAcentral lists this long non-coding RNA (698 nucleotides) under Ficedula albicollis (Collared flycatcher). RNAcentral describes it as "lncRNA (ENSFALG00000022867.1)". The record is from RNAcentral. Lineage: Eukaryota; Metazoa; Chordata; Aves; Passeriformes; Muscicapidae.
AUGCUCUUCUUCAGUAUCAUCACAGGCUCAGAAUUCCUGCAAGUGCUCCUUGGCCAGCUGCUAUACCCUCCCUGUCUGGCACACACCACAGGGCAAAGCCCAGUGUGCAGCUUUGGCAAGCAGCUUUCUGGGGCUUCACCACAUUUCUUCUCUGUGUUCUCCAUGUUCUUGAAGGCAUCUUCCCUUCCUGUGGGCUUUUCCUGUGCUGACACUGUCCUGACCAAGGUCUCAGGGUACCAAAAGCAUUCUUCAUUCCCAGUGCCCCCGUCUGAAGUCCUACUCUUCACAGGGAGCAGCAAUGACAAAAUUCUCACCACAGUUAUGCUAAACUUCAAGAAGAGGAACAACAUAGUAUGUGAGAGCACAUGUUAAAGAUCUGUCUAGAUUUGCAUCACAGUGGUGUGGUGAUGCUGAAACAGGCUGCUGGGUGGAAUAACCUGCCCACCUUAUGGAGCAUUACAUAAAUGCUCUCAAAAAUACAGACCUCUUGUUCCUCAGAUCUCCAAGCUGAGGCCCUGGAUCUUACUGUGUCAGUGAGAUCUGACUCAGAGAGAAUGAGAUUCACUAAUGAGCACUUACAGCUGCAACCACAGCUAAUUUCGAGAUAAAAUGUUAAGUACUCUGAAAAAGCAAGUAAUGAAGACCUAAAGGUGGUGGGUACUCUUAAUUUUCCUAACUCUCAAAGUCCCAUUUAUAAA